RNAcentral lists this ribosomal RNA (632 nucleotides) under uncultured bacterium. RNAcentral's name for it is "bacterial SSU rRNA". It matches the Rfam family "Bacterial small subunit ribosomal RNA", at positions 8 to 628 of the family's 1533-position model. The record is from RNAcentral.
AGAGUUGAUUAUGGCUCAGGAUGAACGCUAGCGACAGGCUUAACACAUGCAAGUCGAGGGGCAGCGGGGGAGUAGCAAUACUCCCGCCGGCGACCGGCGCACGGGUGAGUAACACGUAUGAAACCUGCCCGUAGCAGGGGGAUAAGCGGAAGAAAUUCCGUCUAAUACCGCGUAACAACCCUUGGAGGCAUCUCCUCGGGUUUAAAGGGAGCGAUUCCGGCUACGGAUGGUCAUGCGUCGCAUUAGCUUGUUGGCGGGGUAACGGCCCACCAAGGCGACGAUGCGUAGGGGUUCUGAGAGGAAGGUCCCCCCACACUGGUACUGAGACACGGACCAGACUCCUACGGGAGGCAGCAGUGAGGAAUAUUGGUCAAUGGCCGCAGGGCUGAACCAGCCAAGUCGCGUGAGGGAUGACGGUCCUAUGGAUUGUAAACCUCUUUUGUCAGGGAGCAAAGGGCGCCACGUGUGGCGUUUUGCGAGUACCUGAAGAAAAAGCAUCGGCUAACUCCGUGCCAGCAGCCGCGGUAAUACGGAGGAUGCGAGCGUUAUCCGGAUUUAUUGGGUUUAAAGGGUGCGCAGGCGGAAUGUCAAGUCAGCGGUAAAAUUUCGGGGCUCAACCCCGUCGUGCCGUU